RNAcentral lists this ribosomal RNA (784 nucleotides) under uncultured archaeon. Its description in RNAcentral is "bacterial SSU rRNA". It matches the Rfam family "Archaeal small subunit ribosomal RNA", at positions 104 to 879 of the family's 1478-position model. The record is from RNAcentral.
UCCAUCAAACCGCGACAUAUAAUCCCGAGAAUUGGGGCUAAUCCCCGAUAGGCGUGGAGGCCUGGAAUGGUUCUACGCUUAAAAGCAUGACGACCAUGUUUGUCAUGUGCCCAAGGGUGGAGCUGCGGCCGAUCAGGCAGUUGGUAAGGUAACGGCUCACCAAACCUUUGACCGGUACGGGCCAUGAAAGUGGUAGCCCGGAGAUGUGCACUGAUACAAGGGCACAGGCCCUACGGGGCGCAGCAGGCGCGCAACCUCCACAAUGCACUAAAGUGCGAUGGGGUUACCUCGAGUGCAUCCUGAAGAAGGAUGCUUUUCCACUGUAUAAAUAGCCGUGGGAAUAAAGGGGGGGCAAGACUGGUGUCAGCCGCCGCGGUAACACCAGCCCCCUGAGUGGUGGGGACGUUUAUUUGGCCUAAAGCGUCCGUAGCUGGCUGUAUCCGUUACCCGUUAAAUCUAGCGUCUCAAGCGUUAGGCUGCGGGUAAUACCAUACAACUGGAGGGUGGGAUAGGUGAGCGGUAUUCCUGGGGUAGGGGCGAAAUCCUUUGAUCCCAGGAGGACCACCAGUGGCGAAGGCUGCUCACUAGAACGCGCCCGACGGUGAGGGAUGAAAGCUGGGGGAGCGAACCGGAUUAGAUACCCGGGUAGUCCCAGCUGUAAACGAUGCAGGCUAGGUGUUAGGGCGGCUACGUGCCGCUCUAGUGCCGCAGGGAAGCUGUUAAGCCUGCCGCCUGGGGAGUACGGCCGCAAGGCUGAAACUUAAAGGAAUUGGCGGGGGAGCAC